ACUGUUCGAAUAUCUGCCCCCCUGGAAUUCCAUGUCAUUUCUUCUCUUAGGCCCUGGAAUUCCAAAAGUUUUUAAUAAAUUACCCUUGGAAAUCUGCUAUGUUUUACAUUCCCCUGGAUUUCCUUGCUAUGUUUUGUCUUACCCCCUGGAAUUCCAAGCAUGUGUGAAAUGUGCCAUUUUUUCAUCCCCCCCUGGAAUUUCCAGCGUAAAUAAGUGACUUUUGAACACCUCCCC
Paramuricea clavata is the source of this 234-nucleotide non-coding RNA. The record is from the annotation of a GenBank genome assembly. Lineage: Eukaryota; Metazoa; Cnidaria; Anthozoa; Malacalcyonacea; Plexauridae.